Molecule: long non-coding RNA, 1125 nt
Filed under: Callithrix jacchus (white-tufted-ear marmoset)
Lineage: Eukaryota; Metazoa; Chordata; Mammalia; Primates; Cebidae
Description: lncRNA (ENSCJAG00000070653.1)
Source: RNAcentral
AAUAGCUUAUAUGCAGUAAAGAGCUCAUUUACACAGACAUUAUGUAAUGUACUGGUUAACACUAAAGGAUGAAGAUAGACUGCCUUAGUUUGAAUUCCUGUUCUACUACUUAACUAGGUAUACAAGCUAGACAAGUUAUUCAACCUCCGUGUCUUGGUUUCCAUAUAUAUAUAUAUACACACACAACAGAGACAGUAAUAUCUACCUUUUAGGACUGUUGUAAGAAAAUAAAGAAUUUAUGCAGGUGAAGCAAUUUCAUAGAUCCUCACACAUAGGUGCUAAGUGUUAGUGACUGUUACCAGCAAAAAGUUUACAAAGUAGAAUAAGAGAAUACGUAAGAACUAAACUGAAAACUUAUAAUUUACAACAGAGUAGCACAAUGUGAGCACCAGGAAAAAAACAUCUAAAUUAGACAGGGAUAUACUGAAAUAUGUAAGAUGAAAUGCUAUCCGGGUUUUGCUUCAAAAUGGAAGGGAUAGGUAAAAAAAAAAGAGACUAGCCAUGAGUUGAAGCUGGUUGAUGGGCAUAUGGAAGUUUAUCUACAUCUGUGUAUGUUUGAUUUUUCCUUAAUACAAAGCUUGGAAAAAAAGUAAAUUAGAAGAAGGUAGAGACUAUCUAUUAAAGGCUUCUCAGAAGAGGUAACAUUUGAGCUGCAGGCCAAAUAAAUAGCAAACAAAAAGCAGUGCAUGGUGCCGGGCAUGGUGGCAGGCACCUAUAAUCCCAAAUACUCGGGAGGCUGAAUUACUUGAACCCGGGAGGCAGAGGUUGCAGUGCGCCAACAUCACACUACUGAGCUCCAGCUUGGGCAACAGAGCGAGACACCAUUUCAAAAACUAAAUAAAUAAAUAAAAGACAGAGGUCAGAGUAUUUGGGUUUUUUUUUUUUUUUUUUAGAGACGGGGUUUCACUAUGUUAGCCAGGCUGGUCUUGAACUCCUGACCUCAAAUGAUCUGCCUGCCUCAGCCUCCCAAAGUGCUAGGAUUAUAGGCUUGAGCCACCACACCCAGGCUACAUAUGCCUUUCACAUAUUUUAACAAUAAUAUUAAAUCAUUUUAGUUCUUACAUGCUAAGCACUGUUCUAGGCACUAUAUGUGUAUUAAUUCCUUUAAUCCUUAUAAUAAACCUG